GAUGAACGCUAGCUACAGGCUUAACACAUGCAAGUCGAGGGGAAACGAUGAGAGAGCUUGCUCUCUUAGUCGUCGACCGGCGCACGGGUGAGUAACGCGUAUCCGACCUGCCUCUGACCAAGGGAUAACCCGUCGAAAGUCGGACUAAUACCUUAUGCAGUCGUCGGAAGUCAUCUGAUGACGACGAAAGAUUUCAUCGGUGAGAGAUGGGGAUGCGUCUGAUUAGCUUGUUGGCGGGGUAACGGCCCACCAAGGCGACGAUCAGUAGGGGUUCUGAGAGGAAGGUCCCCCACAUUGGAACUGAGACACGGUCCAAACUCCUACGGGAGGCAGCAGUGAGGAAUAUUGGUCAAUGGGCGUAAGCCUGAACCAGCCAAGUAGCGUGCAGGAUGACGGCCCUAUGGGUUGUAAACUGCUUUUAUGCGGGGAUAAAGUGAGGGACGUGUCCUUCAUUGCAGGUACCGCAUGAAUAAGGACCGGCUAAUUCCGUG
Molecule: ribosomal RNA, 491 nt
Filed under: uncultured bacterium
Lineage: Bacteria
Description: partial 16S ribosomal RNA
Rfam family: Bacterial small subunit ribosomal RNA
Source: RNAcentral